UAUGGCUCAGGAUGAACGCUAGCGGCAGGCUUAACACAUGCAAGUCGAGGGGCAGCGCGAGUAGCAAUACUUGGCGGCGACCGGCGCAAGGGUGCGUAACGCGUGAGCAACAUGCCCGUAUCAGGGGGAUAAUCCAGGGAAACUUGGUCUAAUACCCCAUAGUAAUUUUGUAAGGCAUCUUAUAAGAUUUAAAGCUUUGGUGGAUACGGAUUGGCUCGCGUGACAUUAGCUGGAUGGUAAGGUAACGGCUUACCAUGGCUAUGAUGUCUAGGGGUUCUGAGAGGAAGGUCCCCCCACACUGGAACUGAGACACGGUCCAGACUCCUACGGGAGGCAGCAGUGAGGAAUAUUGGACAAUGGAUGGAAAUCUGAUCCAGCCAUGCCGCGUGAAGGAAAGAAGGUCCUAUGGAUUGUAAACUUCUUUUGUAUGGGAGCAAUAAGGCCUACGAGUAGGUUGAUGAGAGUACCAUACGAAUAAGCACCGGCUAACUCCGUGCCAGCAGCCGC
Molecule: ribosomal RNA, 507 nt
Filed under: uncultured bacterium
Lineage: Bacteria
Description: bacterial SSU rRNA
Rfam family: Bacterial small subunit ribosomal RNA
Source: RNAcentral